This 454-nucleotide ribosomal RNA is filed under the name uncultured bacterium. RNAcentral describes it as "bacterial SSU rRNA". It matches the Rfam family "Bacterial small subunit ribosomal RNA", at positions 28 to 481 of the family's 1533-position model. The record is from RNAcentral.
GAUGAACGCUAGCGGCAGGCUUAACACAUGCAAGUCGAGGGGUAGAAGGAGCUUGCUCCUUUGAGACCGGCGCACGGGUGCGUAACGCGUAUGCAAUCUACCUUUUGCAGAGGGAUAGCCCAGAGAAAUUUGGAUUAAUACCUCAUAGUAUGUGAGGAUGGCAUCAUUUUCACAUUAAAGUCACAACGGCAAAAGAUGAGCAUGCGUCCCAUUAGCUAGUUGGUAAGGUAACGGCUUACCAAGGCUACGAUGGGUAGGGGUCCUGAGAGGGAGAUCCCCCACACUGGUACUGAGACACGGACCAGACUCCUACGGGAGGCAGCAGUGAGGAAUAUUGGACAAUGGGCGCAAGCCUGAUCCAGCCAUGCCGCGUGCAGGAUGACGGUCCUAUGGAUUGUAAACUGCUUUUGUACAGGAAGAAACACUACUUCGUGAAGUAGCUUGACGGUACUGU